This 169-nucleotide ribosomal RNA is filed under the name Hydrophis melanocephalus. RNAcentral describes it as "partial 12S rRNA". The record is from RNAcentral. Lineage: Eukaryota; Metazoa; Chordata; Lepidosauria; Squamata; Elapidae.
GACCGCGGUUAUACGACAGACCCAAGAUAAUACUACCGGCGUAAAGCACGACUAAAACAUGAGUCCAACCAUUAAGGUUAAAAUUAGGCUGAGCUGUAAAAAGCUAUAAGCCACACUAACCAUCUAGGCCUUAAUACCUAAACAACUUUAACUCGUGAAAGUCAGGACA